Molecule: ribosomal RNA, 467 nt
Filed under: uncultured bacterium
Lineage: Bacteria
Description: partial 16S ribosomal RNA
Rfam family: Bacterial small subunit ribosomal RNA
Source: RNAcentral
GAUGAACGCUGGCGGCGUGCUUAACACAUGCAAGUCGAACGGAAAGGCCCAAGCUUGCUUGGGUACUCGAGUGGCGAACGGGUGAGUAACACGUGGGUGAUCUGCCCUGCACUUCGGGAUAAGCCUGGGAAACUGGGUCUAAUACCGGAUAGGACCACAUUUUGGAUGGUGUGGUGGAAAGUUUUUCGGUGUGGGAUGAGCUCGCGGCCUAUCAGCUUGUUGGUGGGGUAAUGGCCUACCAAGGCGUCGACGGGUAGCCGGCCUGAGAGGGUGUACGGCCACAUUGGGAAUGAGAUACGGCCCAGACUCCUACGGGAGGCAGCAGUGGGGAAUAUUGCACAAUGGGCGCAAGCCUGAUGCAGCGACGCCGCGUGGGGGAUGACGGCCUUCGGGUUGUAAACUCCUUUCGCUAGGGACGAAGCGUUUUUGUGACGGUACCUGGAGAAGAAGCACCGGCUAACUACGUG